AUGGAAUGCUUUGAAAGCAAAUUUUUAGAAAUAAAGUCUCACGUUUUUGCAUUGUAAAUAAAAUAAAGACUUGAUCAUUAGAAAAGUGCAAAUUUCGAUAUUUCACUUGCUUAUUCAAUUCCAUUAAUGAUUAUGAAAAAAAUAAUGUUUUGAUAAUUUUGGUUAUUUACCACGCCAUAUUCGAUUUUUUGUAAGCAUUCAUGAACUCUUAUUUAUUGAACCCAAUCUCUCGGAUUAGUAUGAUGAAUUGGUAAAUAGUGGAUCAAUUUACUAAUUCAUCAUGCUAUUUUUCCUAAUGUCUUGAGAAGGUUAAUGUUUUUUUAAUUUCUAACACAAGUUAUGAACUUCUACCGAUGAACCAAAAUAUUUCAUACAAAAUGGAGCUUAAACAAUAAGUAUUAACAGUUAGGUUCGAACAAGUUUUGAUUUUUGCUAAUGUCAUAGUAAAUAUGUAAAGCAGUAGAGGUUUGGAAAACAAAGGCUGAUAAGAGGUUAUUGCCAUAUUGAUUUGUUUGUUUCGGCUAUAAUUGAAAAUAUUUGCUUUAUCCGUUAUUAACAGGUUUAUCUAUAGCUAGAUUGAUUACUGAACGAUGAUUAAAUUAUAUGCCUUGAGAGUGACUUUGAGUAUUAUUGGCAGUGUUUCUCUCUUUGCCAUAAGAGUUUUUUGUCGUCCAAAUAGCUUGAAACUUAGUUGUAAACAGUUUGAUUGGCAAAGAUGUGACGCCAACUUUCAGUUUAUCAGAUUUUAGAUAACACCCCAUGACGAAGAGAACAAAGCUGUCGAAAAUAAACUGAGUUUUGUAGCAUUUUGUACUAAAGGCACUAGAAAAUCGCAUAUGCGUUAGUGGAAAUUAAAGAUGUGAUAUAAAACAUGAUGAACCAAUGUUAAAUAUUAAACAUUAUUCCUAAAUAAUCUAAUGAAAAUUUACGAUGCGCAACAUGUGCUUGAAAAUGUUUAUUUGGCAGCGCUUUCUUGUUUCCUUCAUUCCACCAUUCCAUCAAUUAUUUCUUUCUCAAGGAUUAUUGAUGAAAUCACGAGGAUCAAACCAAGUAUCAAUCCAAUAUCUUUCACGAGAGAUAGAUCAAGCCGAGGCUCGAGCAGAGAGAAAAUCUCCCGGCAGUAUGAGAGAAGUUAAUGCAUAAAGAGAAAAAAAAAACAAGUGUCCGUGCAUGCUUAUCAUACGUGCACAGCUAGCAAAGCAAAGCCUUUUAUUGAAUCAAUGCGUCGUCGGUGGGUGUGCGGUUGAUUUUCAGUC
Aedes albopictus (Asian tiger mosquito) is the source of this 1256-nucleotide long non-coding RNA. RefSeq lists it as uncharacterized. NCBI's taxonomy places the organism in Eukaryota, Metazoa, Arthropoda, Insecta, Diptera, Culicidae. The transcript is spliced from 2 exons. The record is from RefSeq and is a predicted model, not a curated record.